CUUCUUCCCUCUCUCGUUUUUCAGUUUCCUCUCAGAGAAGAGAAGAUGCCAAACUUUUAGUUUUGAUUUCCUUUCCAUCAUCAUCAUCUGUAUAAGACUUCAGUAUCCAUUUACGUAAAUGGAUCUGCUCUAAAGAACUGUUUUUCUUUUGUAUCAACAAAGAGUUGGAAGUAGAGAACGGAGAUUUGAGGUCAUCUGUCAGUGAUAAUUCUUCAGUUGCUACUGAAAAUCGAGAAUCCCGGCGCCAAUUUCCUUCUAGUCGGAGUCUGAUCGUGAAUUUUCUACUCUAUUAG
Papaver somniferum (opium poppy) is the source of this 293-nucleotide long non-coding RNA. RefSeq lists it as uncharacterized. The transcript is spliced from 3 exons. The record is from RefSeq and is a predicted model, not a curated record. NCBI's taxonomy places the organism in Eukaryota, Viridiplantae, Streptophyta, Magnoliopsida, Ranunculales, Papaveraceae.